UACAGAGGUCCCAAGCGUUGUUCGGAUUUACUGGGCGUAAAGGGUGCGUAGGUGGCGGGGUAAGUCUGGUGUGAAAUCUCCGAGCUCAACUCGGAAAAGCAUUGGAAACUAUCCCGCUAGAGGGUCGGAGGGGAGACUGGAAUUCUCGGUGUAGCAGUGAAAUGCGUAGAUAUCGAGAGGAACACCAGUGGCGAAGGCGGAUCUCUGGGCCGAUACUGACGCUGAGGAGCGAAAGCGUGGGGAGCGAACAGG
Molecule: ribosomal RNA, 252 nt
Filed under: uncultured bacterium
Lineage: Bacteria
Description: partial 16S ribosomal RNA
Rfam family: Bacterial small subunit ribosomal RNA
Source: RNAcentral